RNA transcript from Nilaparvata lugens (brown planthopper), 1365 nucleotides. RefSeq lists it as uncharacterized. NCBI's taxonomy places the organism in Eukaryota, Metazoa, Arthropoda, Insecta, Hemiptera, Delphacidae. The record is from RefSeq and is a predicted model, not a curated record. The transcript is spliced from 4 exons.
AAAUUCGCAAAUAAGUGCAUAAUUAGUUCUCAAUAAAAUAUCUCUCUCAGUUCUCAUUGCAGGAGCGGUUUCAAAUUCAAUUUUCAAAUUUGUAUAUUUAAUCAUGAGACUAGUGUUGUUUGUUUUUACUCUAUUGGUGUUUGUGUGUGGAAUACUGGCUAAUAUUAUAACUACUACAACACCAAAACCUCUAUUGAGGCCAGGAGGAAAGACUGCUUAUCGCUCUGUGGGUGGCAACUCCAGACGCAGUAGAGACGUAAAUGGUGGUAAGAGACAAUUCCUUAUACAUCUAUUAAAAAAAAACAAGUAUUAAAUUGAUAGUCACGACCAGUUUAUUCAGGCUAAGCCGGUUCUUCCCGUGAGCGACUCCCCACCAACAAAAGCCACACGUAUUUACUUUUUUUUAUUAGUAUAUCAAGAAAUAAUUGAUAGCGAGCAUCAACAGAGUUUGGCUACCUUAGUCGUCAACAAUAGUUAAUUAUUAAUUUUUUAAAAUAGUUAAUUUUAAUAAUUAAUAUACUCUGAUUAGAGUUUCUGAGAAGCUGUAAAAACAAACAAACAUAGUUGAUAUUAUUGAUUAACGCUCUCAUUGCCGAUAGAGGCAUUGCACAAGUGACUUCGCAUUUCAUUUUCAAUUUAUAGCUGCAAUUAUGAGGCUGGUACUGUUAGCGUUUACUUUACUUCUAUUAGUGUCGGGAAUGCUGGCAAAAAUAAUUACAACACCAAAACCAAGAUCGUUUCCAAAAAAGGGUUGGUCUGCAGGAGGAUUGUCGAGACGUGCCCGAGACAUAAAUGCUGGACAACCUGACAAAGGGCACCAAAGAGAUGAAGAGCUAAAGGAAUCAGGCAGUGAUCUCCACGGUGUGGGCUCACAAUCCAGACGGAGGGGCCGUGAUGUUAGUGGGAUGGCAUCAGUCGACCAAAUACCAAUGGGCCAAGACAAUCGAUUCUCUGAACGAGACCUUUCUCCCCACAGAUGGCUACAUCAGGGCAAGAAUGAGACGUGACAACACCAAGAGAGCUGGCCUGAAAAAGUUAUCAACGAAAUUUCAACCUAAAAAGGACCAAUCGAAGGAUAAGCUCCAUUCGACAGCAAGGUCUUUGGGACCCUUGCGAGCAAGGCGUGCGUAAAUAGUUAACAACUGGUUGGAAUAAUCACAUAUUAAAAAGUAAGAUUACAAAUGGAGAGCUUUAAAGAUAAUAAAGGAUAAUAAUAUUGAGAAAACACCGAUGAAACUGCAGAGGAAAGUUUAACGCAAAACUGCAUUACUUCGAAAUGGAAACUCAUGAAAAAUACAAGGGAACCAACUUGCAAAAAAAUUAAACAUAAGUUGUGUUUAAUAAAUAAAGUAUUUUAACACUUGA